CCUACGGGGUGCUGCAGUAGGGAAUAUUGCUCAAUGGGGGAAACCCUGAAGCAGCCAAGCCGCGUGGAGGAUGAAGGUUUUAGGAUUUUAAACUCUCUUUGUGAGAGAAGAUAAUGACGGUAUCUCAGGAAUAAGCACCGGCUAACUAUGUGACAGCAGCCGGGGGAAUAUGGGGGGUGCAAGCGUAACUCGGAAUCAAUGGGCGUAAAGCGUGCGCAGGCGGGCUUGUAAGUCAGCUGUGAAAUCAUGUAGCUUAACUACAGAACUGCAUGUGAAACUGUGAGUCUAGAGUGUGGGAGAGGUAGGUGGAAUGCUUGGUGUAGGGGUAAAAUCCGUAGAUAUUAAGAAGAAUACUCAUUGCGAAGGCGACCUACUGGAGGAUAACUGACGCUCAUGCACGAAAGCGUGGGGAGCGAACAGGAUUAGAUACCCGUGUAGUC
RNAcentral lists this ribosomal RNA (440 nucleotides) under uncultured bacterium. Its description in RNAcentral is "partial 16S ribosomal RNA". It matches the Rfam family "Bacterial small subunit ribosomal RNA", at positions 338 to 795 of the family's 1533-position model. The record is from RNAcentral.